AUACUUCGGUAAGGUGAGUAAAGUGGCGAACGGGUGAGUAACACGUGGAAAACCUGCCCUCAGGUCCGGGAUAAUCCUUCGAAAGGGGGUCUAAUACCGGGUAACACCGCGAAUCGGCAUCGGUCUGCGGUCAAAGGCGGGGCAACCUGCCGUCUGGGGAUGGUUCCGCGCUUCAUUAGCUUGUUGGUGAGGUAACGGCUCACCAAGGCUGCGAUGAAUAGCCGGCCUGAGAGGGCGAUCGGCCACACUGGGACUGAGAUACGGCCCAGACUCCUACGGGAGGCAGCAGUAGGGAAUAUUGCGCAAUGGACGCAAGUCUGACGCAGCAACGCCGCGUGGGUGAUGACGCCUUUCGGGGUGUAAAGCGCUGUCGAGCGGGACGAAGGCGCGGAUGUGAACAGCAUGCGCGGAUGACGGUACCGCUGGAGGAAGCCCCGGCUAACUCCGUGCCAGCAGCCGCGGUAAGACGGAGGGGGCGAGCGUUGUUCGGAAUUACUGGGCGUAAAGCGCGCGUAGGCGGUGGAUCAAGUGGGCAGUGAAAGCCCCUGGCUUAACUGGGGAAGGGCUGGCCAAACUGAUCGACUAGAGUGCCGGAGGGGGAGGCGGAAUUCCUGGUGGAGCGGUGAAAUGCGUAGAGAUCAGGAAGAACGUCGGUGGCGAAGGCGCUCUGCUGGGCCAUAACUGACGCUCAUGGACGAAAGCCAGGGGAGCGAAAGGGAUUAGAUACCCUGGUA
This 734-nucleotide ribosomal RNA is filed under the name uncultured bacterium. Its description in RNAcentral is "bacterial SSU rRNA". It matches the Rfam family "Bacterial small subunit ribosomal RNA", at positions 75 to 792 of the family's 1533-position model. The record is from RNAcentral.